UCUAAUAUGGCAGAAUAGUGCAAUAGAUUUAAGCUCUAUAUAUAAAGAUUCAACUUUUAUUAGAA
This 65-nucleotide transfer RNA is filed under the name Poekilocerus bufonius. RNAcentral describes it as "tRNA-Leu". It matches the Rfam family "tRNA". Rfam says of the family: Transfer RNA (tRNA) molecules are approximately 80 nucleotides in length. Their secondary structure includes four short double-helical elements and three loops (D, anti-codon, and T loops). Lineage: Eukaryota; Metazoa; Arthropoda; Insecta; Orthoptera; Pyrgomorphidae. The record is from RNAcentral.